AGGUCACCUGAAGCUGUGGUUUCCCAAAUGGCAACAGCCUCCUACCUGAAGCCUCUGCACCCCUUCACUGUGGGUGAAGACUUUCCCCAGCAGCGCCAGAGCUUACUCCACCAAAUGGGAGUGUAAACUGGAACUGCAGGUGGCAGGACACCAGGGACAACCCUCAAGUAAUAGAGAUGGAAAAACAAAUCCUGCGACAAAGAUUCAAGAGUAAGAAAUUUAUUUGGAAGGUGAUCCCAGGAAACGUAAGUAGGAGAAUAGAAAAGUGAGAUAGAGCAAGAAGUAACUAAUAACAGAUCAUUCUUUCUGGGUCGGCCACUGAGGAAACUCAAACUAAGACAGAGAACAGGAGGGAGUUUCAAGGACUGUGCAUGCACAGGAACCAGAGAAAAGCUCACAGGAGAUGCCGGAGAACUGAGGCCAGAGGCCAAGACCUUCUGCCUCCAGAGGAUGCCUACAUCUCAGACUUGGCCCCGUAGCAGAUCAACACCUUGGCAUCCACUAACUACAGCCAUCCAUCUCCUACCGUGACAUGAAGGGAGCCUUUUAAUUAUUCUCCAGAUUAGUCAAUAGAUCAAAUGUACAAAUGAGCAGCCCACUCCUUCCUUAUUAUUACUGCUGCUGCUCCACUCCUGCCUGUAAUAUCUGGCCCACAUCCAGGGCUUUGUUUCAUUU
Long non-coding RNA from Manis pentadactyla (Chinese pangolin), 675 nucleotides. RefSeq lists it as uncharacterized. The transcript is spliced from 3 exons. The record is from RefSeq and is a predicted model, not a curated record. Lineage: Eukaryota; Metazoa; Chordata; Mammalia; Pholidota; Manidae.